RNAcentral lists this ribosomal RNA (497 nucleotides) under uncultured bacterium. RNAcentral describes it as "partial 16S ribosomal RNA". It matches the Rfam family "Bacterial small subunit ribosomal RNA", at positions 28 to 507 of the family's 1533-position model. The record is from RNAcentral.
GAUGAACGCAGGCGGCGUGCCUAAUACAUGCAAGUCGAGCGAACAGAUGAGGAGCUUGCUCCUCUGACGUUAGCGGCGGACGGGUGAGUAACACGUGGAUAACCUACCUAUAAGACUGGGAUAACUUCGGGAAACCGGAGCUAAUACCGGAUAAUAUAUUGAACCGCAUGGUUCAAUAGUGAAAGACGGUUUUGCUGUCACUUAUAGAUGGAUCCGCGCCGCAUUAGCUAGUUGGUAAGGUAACGGCUUACCAAGGCAACGAUGCGUAGCCGACCUGAGAGGGUGAUCGGCCACACUGGAACUGAGACACGGUCCAGACUCCUACGGGAGGCAGCAGUAGGGAAUCUUCCGCAAUGGGCGAAAGCCUGACGGAGCAACGCCGCGUGAGUGAUGAAGGUCUUCGGAUCGUAAAACUCUGUUAUUAGGGAAGAACAAAUGUGUAAGUAACUAUGCACGUCUUGACGGUACCUAAUCAGAAAGCCACGGCUAACUACGUG